AUGCGAUUAUAUUAGUAUUAAUGUAUCGGAUUUUAUUAGAAUUUCGCAGUUAAGCGUGUUUGGGCGAGAGUAGUAUUAGGAUGGGUGAUUUUUCGGGAAGUUUUCGUGUUGUA
This 113-nucleotide ribosomal RNA is filed under the name Streptomyces anthocyanicus. The record is from RNAcentral. Lineage: Bacteria; Bacillati; Actinomycetota; Actinomycetes; Kitasatosporales; Streptomycetaceae.